This 253-nucleotide ribosomal RNA is filed under the name uncultured bacterium. RNAcentral describes it as "partial 16S ribosomal RNA". It matches the Rfam family "Bacterial small subunit ribosomal RNA", at positions 524 to 776 of the family's 1533-position model. The record is from RNAcentral.
UACAGAGGGGGCAAGCGUUGUUCGGAAUUACUGGGCGUAAAGGGCGCGUAGGCGGCCCGCUAAGUCGAACGUGAAAUCCCCAGGCUCAACCUGGGAACUGCGUCCGAUACUGGCAGGCUUGAAUCCGGGAGAGGGAUGUGGAAUUCCAGGUGUAGCGGUGAAAUGCGUAGAUAUCUGGAGGAACACCGGUGGCGAAGGCGGCAUCCUGGACCGGUAUUGACGCUGAGGCGCGAAAGCGUGGGGAUCGAACAGG